CCCAAAGUAUUUCUUUAUUGUGUAUUGCCCCUAUUUCAAGAUUGGAUUUUUGUCCUUCAGCUACAAAAUGGUUUCCCCUCAAAUAGUUCUCAUUAGACCAGAUGAUCAAAACAAUACCUCUAUAAUUCCUCUAUAAUCAGGAUGUUAGUGCUUCUCUCAGUUUUGUUGCUUUGACUAGGUUCAAUCUUCCUCAGGAAUCUCUGUCUUCAGUCCCCAUAGUCCUCUUCCUGGAAUGCAGCUGGCUCUCUUCAUUACAAGUCUAUUGGAACUUCCUGAAUCACCUCAUUGUUGAAAAGAGCCAAGUCAAUCAGAGUUGAUCAUCAAAUAAUCUUGUUGCUGUGUACAAUGUUCUCUUGGUUCUACUUACUUCACUUGGCAUCAGUUCAUUCUGGAUUUAGGAAACAAUUUGUUUCUUCCAUCUCCUCUGCACUGAUCUUCAAUAUAAUGUGAAAUUUCUAACUGAAGAAAAUAUUGAAGUCCUUACUUCAAAAGAGUGAUGAAGUCCUUACUUACAACAGUUUUUGGCACAGGUGUACAUGAUUGCUUUGGAGCAGAUGGAAGAUAUUUGGCCCAACCUUGCAGGAAACAGUGCACCCAAGAAAAGGCACAAAUUGUUACCAUGCAGUCUGAGGUCUUCUCACAUGAUAUUAGUUCGCUCCCCAAACAGAAAACAGACCUCAGAGUGUAUGGAAAUCAGCCUCACCCACAACUUGUCUAGUUCUGAUUAAACUCUGGGCGGAGCCAUCAGCCUGUUGCGAAGAUCCCAAUCACCAUAGUUACCAUCAAUGCAACAAUGACCCACUGGGACUUUUAAGUCUCAGCAGCCACUACUGCCUUUUGCAUUGUAGACGCCAAGCCCAGCUGUAGAAGACCCAAAUGUGGCAGAAGCAGACCCAGCUGUGGCCCGGAUGGCCUCGUGCUACCGGUGGGAACGAGAGGAUCAUCUCAAUGAAGGUACUGUAAAUAAUAAAUGGUUCAGUGUAAGAAGGGACUAAAAUUUCAUCAACCGGGAAUAUCACCAAGGAAGAUGCAUUUGUACACCAGACUGCCAUAAAGAAUAAAAAUGCAAGAAGUACCUUCACAGUAAAGAAGAUAGGGAGACUGUGAGAUUUAAUGUUGUCUAAGCAAAAAGGGAACGAAGACAGCUUCUGCACCAAGCCCUGUUGAAAUUCAAUUCAAGGCAGUAAAUAUGCAACAAAUGUUUAAUCAUUAAUGAAGAUGGUAUCCACUUCUAAUGGGGUCCUCUGUGAAGUUACCGACAGAAUGACUAGACUAGUAAGUGUGGGAAAAGAAUGAGAGAUCCGAAAAUGUUCCAAAAAGAGGCUAUCCCUACCAUUACACAGAGGUUUCUACCUUACUUAUACACCCAGAUCGUAAAGACAACUAAUGUAUCCAACUUUCCUGUGCAGGAAGAAAUGAUGGAAGAUACAAUCAGGAUGCAGGGAAACAAGGUUGACCCGUGAGAUAGAAUAUGUAUCGAGUUAUAGAUUGUAAUACUACAAGGGCAUUCCUUGUCAAUAUAUCUUGGAGAGGAAGUAAGUAACGAAGACAAGAAUAACCAAGAAGAUGAAAUCUAGGGUCAGCAACCACUUCAAUGUAGGUAUUGCGGUAACUUCCAUUAUUUUCACAGAUGCCCAGAGAACCAUAAACCACAAAAUGGCAAAGAGGUGAAAGCAGCUAAAUCCACAAUCUCUUGAGACUGGACAGGGCUGAACUGAGUAAAUUCCAGUUUACCAUCUCUCCCAUCAGUCAUCAUACCGAAAAGAAAAAAAAAAAAAAUACCAGCAAUAAGAAGUGAACACAAGAUUUGGAACAGAGGGACCUUAAUGCUUGCUUUAUUGUUAUUGACCAGAUAACUAGAAUUAUCUGCAUUAUCUAUGCAGAAUGGGGUUUUUAUUAUUUUUACUUAAAGAACUCCCUUUGGGGGAAUAACAAAACUUUGUAAAAGCCUGGUUUUCUCAACACACCUUUAAAUGUUUUUAAAUAGUUUCAUAUCUGGUCAAGAUUCUUAAGAAUUUCACUUUUAAAUUGUGUGAAGUUACACCUGAUCUCUUCAAAAGUUCACACACUGCAAGCACAAGUUUAAAUAAAGGUCUUUAAAUUUGAAAAAAUGUGUAAAAAUUAUUUUUAAAAUAAUUAGUGUCAAAGUCAAUAAAGUGAA
Long non-coding RNA from Sarcophilus harrisii (Tasmanian devil), 2161 nucleotides. The record is from Ensembl. Lineage: Eukaryota; Metazoa; Chordata; Mammalia; Dasyuromorphia; Dasyuridae.